RNAcentral lists this ribosomal RNA (543 nucleotides) under Triticum aestivum (bread wheat). Its description in RNAcentral is "partial small subunit ribosomal RNA". The record is from RNAcentral. Lineage: Eukaryota; Viridiplantae; Streptophyta; Magnoliopsida; Poales; Poaceae.
AUGUCUUCUAUAGCCUUACAAGGAACUUUGGAGAAUAUGAUGAGUCAAAAGGAAGUGCGGAAGGAGAGGAGGAGAAAAGGGAAGGAGAAGCAAAUGAAGAUAUACCUAGAUCUUCAAACGAAGAAGCUUGACAUGGAGGAGGCGGUGAAGAGGAGGAAGCUUGACAUCGAGGAGGCCGCUCAACUGAAGAAGCUCGACAUCGUGUUCACCAAUGCCGAGACCAAAGCCAAAGAGGUUGCACUUGUGUUCAUGAGCGUUGACAAAAACAACAUGUCAACGGAGAGGAAGGCUUGGUUCGCGAACCAGCAACAGGAGAUGUUUGCUCGCGACGGCCAGGUGAGACCUCGACCACGAUGGCUGUCCAUUUUGAAGGUUGGCUGCUGUGCCGGCCGCUGGCUUUGUUGUUGGCGCCAAAAACUUGUCAUUUUGAAGGCUGACUUGUGUGUCGGCCCAAAAAACUUGUCCAUUUUGAAGGAUGGCUCGUGUGAAGAUUACUUGAGAUUUUAUAAAUCUGACUGUUGUUGGAGCAGUUGCUUUAAUUAG